UCUGCAGUGACUGCGGAGGACAUUA
This 25-nucleotide ribosomal RNA is filed under the name Tricholoma terreum. Its description in RNAcentral is "partial 18S ribosomal RNA". Lineage: Eukaryota; Fungi; Basidiomycota; Agaricomycetes; Agaricales; Tricholomataceae. The record is from RNAcentral.